Molecule: transfer RNA, 62 nt
Filed under: Hafnia alvei
Lineage: Bacteria; Pseudomonadati; Pseudomonadota; Gammaproteobacteria; Enterobacterales; Hafniaceae
Also listed under: 5 other names
Rfam family: tRNA
About the family: Transfer RNA (tRNA) molecules are approximately 80 nucleotides in length.
Source: RNAcentral
UCGUUAGCUCAGUUGGUAGAGCAGUUGACUCUUAAUCAAUUGGUCGGCGGUUCGAACCCGCC